This is a long non-coding RNA of Ctenopharyngodon idella (grass carp), 1362 nucleotides long. RefSeq lists it as uncharacterized. Lineage: Eukaryota; Metazoa; Chordata; Actinopteri; Cypriniformes; Xenocyprididae. The record is from RefSeq and is a predicted model, not a curated record. The transcript is spliced from 4 exons.
CAAGAACGGUCAUGUGACAUGCGUUUUCGGUCGUGUAGUAUAGAAGGAGAUAGUUUCUGAAACGCUGUAGAAACGCCAGUGUAUACGAGGAUCGUUUUCGUUUUAAAACGAAAACGCACUAGUGUAAACGGGGCCUUAGUAGACGGUCUGCUUAAUAUCAUGCGAACACUUUAUUGUGAUGGUCCCCCAACAAACAUUCUACUGACUGAGGAUCGGAUGUUCUCGAGUCUCCAGGAGGGCAGUCGGCCGGCAGACGGACUGGCUCCACACUAGACUGGGCAUCCGUACACAUGAAACCAGAGCGGGGGACAUUCCUUCUUAAAAUGGCUCCCUCUUCCUCUGUCUCAUCCUGUGGUGUUAUUAAAGCAGUAUUUCAGGCCUGUCAUAAAGUCUCUCAAGGAUAAAGUAUCAUAAGUGUCUCCAGAUGAUUAAGGUUUUAAUACCUCAUUACAAUAAUAUAAGGUAUAUAGCCUACCUAGGGUAUGGAGUUGGGUGUUAAAAUGUAUUCUGUCAUCAAUUGUCUGCACUUGCUGCCACCUAGCGGCGUAUGAACUAAUUACAUGUCAGUAACAACCUUUUGGAAGGAGCAGGACAAUCCUCUGGCAUCAUGUUUUGGCUACUGGCCAUGCAGCUAGUCAAUAUUUUCCUGGAAGACACAUUAGAUGUGAACGCUCACUGGAGCCAAGCAACCUCAGAUGUUUUCCUUUGCCGUUUCUGCUUCCAUUCAUGAGGAGUUGGAGCUCAGCCCAAAUAGCUGUGUGAUCCGUUAGUGAUUUAUAACUGUGCUGUAUUGUUUAAUCUCCUAAAUUAUACUAGCAGACACUGGAAAUGUUUCCACGGUUUUCUAAACGCUGCCUAACCAUGAUGAAUUUUUUCAACCCACAUGCCUGGAGUCUUUUGCCUGUGAGAGAUACGUUGAACUAUUCAUAAUAGUCUAAUCAAAUGGUCUGUCAGCAAUUUUCUUGUCUGCCUUCCUUGCUGGAAACUCCAGCUUAAAAAUGGCAUCUGUGUUUUAGACAAGGUUGCUGGUCCAACCUAGUAGACAAUCUUGGACCACCAACAAACCUACAACCAGCUGAUUAAACCAGUCAUACAUUUUUGUGUUUGUUUUAUCCCAGUUUUAGCAGUUCUUCAAAAUGUAAGGCUACAGACCACAUAAUGCAAAUUCAAUCUUUUGUCCACUGUAGAAAACUCAUAAAAUGAGUUAUGGAGUGCAUUUCUCUCUCUACACAUUCAUUAGCAAAUUACAGUAAAUGUACAUUAUUAUUCUAAUAAGUGGAAAGUUUUAGGAGCUAUUUGCAAGCUGGCUUUUGCUACUCUAAAUAAAGGCUUGUGCUUAAUUAAAGAGUAUCCCAUGAUCAA